Molecule: long non-coding RNA, 545 nt
Organism: Eriocheir sinensis (Chinese mitten crab)
Lineage: Eukaryota; Metazoa; Arthropoda; Malacostraca; Decapoda; Varunidae
Exons: 3
Source: RefSeq, a predicted model, not a curated record
UUCUAUAUAACCUUUAAUCUCAAAUGACAGAUUAGAAUAAAGAAAGAAGAAAAAGCCGAUAGUAAUAAUCUUGACCGGAAAAAGGUAUAAAAAACAAGCGAUUAUAAUGUCCGAAGCAACGGUGUACCUGGUGACCGAGAGCUUACCCGACUCACCUGUCUGUCUGUACGUCUGUCCGUCUGUCUGUCUUUCCGCUGCUGUAACGUCGCCAGUAAUUACAGGUGCGUGUUGACUCCCGGCCCGCUUACACGCACACACCUGCCGCCUACACACCUUAUCCAGUUAGUCAGAUCAGCCAACCAGUCAGUCAAAUCAAAUAUCGAAUCGAGGACGCGAGGCUUCGGCGUGAAUCAGCGAGGCCUUGAGUGGAGCUUCGAGCACGGCGAGACGAAGCGAAACGAAACGUAUUUUAGUUGUGAAGAGGAUGAUGAUUGUGAUGAAAGAGGAUGAUGAGGCGAUGGGGAUGAUGAUUUGUGACUGCCUUGGAAAUGCUCUGACUUAUUGUUGUAAGAAUAUAAUUAUUUCCUCAUGAGGUCAAAAUAAGA